CGUAUGUCCGGCCCAUUGCCACUUCAGC
RNAcentral lists this small RNA (28 nucleotides) under Bombyx mori (domestic silkworm). Its description in RNAcentral is "ovarian small RNA-14547". Lineage: Eukaryota; Metazoa; Arthropoda; Insecta; Lepidoptera; Bombycidae. The record is from RNAcentral.